UAGGGAAUCUUCGGCAAUGGACGAAAGUCUGACCGAGCAACGCCGCGUGAGUGAAGAAGGUUUUCGGAUCGUAAAACUCUGUUGGUAGAGAAGAACGUUGGUGAGAGUGGAAAGCUCAUCAAGUGACGGUAACUACCCAGAAAGGGACGGCUAACUACGUGCCAGCAGCCACGGUAAUACGUAGGUCCCGAGCGUUGUCCGGAUUUAUUGGGCGUAAAGCGAGCGCAGGUGGUUUAUUAAGUCUGGUGUAAAAGGCAGUGGCUCAACCAUUGUAUGCAUUGGAAACUGGUAGACUUGAGUGCAGGAGAGGAGAGUGGAAUUCCAUGUGUAGCGGUGAAAUGCGUAGAUAUAUGGAGGAACACCGGUGGCGAAAGCGGCUCUCUGGCCUGUAACUGACACUGAGGCUCGAAAGCGUGGGGAGCAAACAGGAUUAGAUACCCUGGUAGUCCACGCCGUAAACGAUGAGUGCUAGAUGUAGGGAGCUAUAAGUUCUCUGUAUCGCAGCUAACGCAAUAAGCACUCCGCCUGGGGAGUACGACCGCAAGGUUGAAAC
RNAcentral lists this ribosomal RNA (553 nucleotides) under uncultured bacterium. RNAcentral's name for it is "partial 16S ribosomal RNA". It matches the Rfam family "Bacterial small subunit ribosomal RNA", at positions 355 to 900 of the family's 1533-position model. The record is from RNAcentral.